ACGGGGUGCAGCAGGCGCGAAAACUUGUCAAUGCGGGAAACCGCGAACAGGGGAGUCCAAGUGCUUGCACUUUGUGUAAGCUGUUCGGUUGUCUAAAAAACAGCCGAAGGAAGGGCUGGGUAAGACAGGUGCCAGCCGCCGCGGUAAUACCUGCAGCCCGAGUGGUGAUCGAUUUUAUUGAGCCUAAAGCGUCCGUAGCCGGACUAGUAAACCCUUGGGUAAAUUGGGCAGCUUAACUGUCCAACUUCCGAGGGGACUGCUAGUCUUGGGACCGGGAGAGGUCAGAGGUACUCCAGGGGUAGGGGCUAAAUCCUGUAAUCCUUGGGGGACCACCAGUGGCGAAGGCGUCUGACUAGAACGGAUCCGACGGUAAGGGACGAAACCCUGGGGCGCGAACCGGAUUAGAUACCCGGGUAGUCCAGGGCGUAAACGCUGCAGGCUUGGUGUUGGGGACCCUACGAGGGUGCCCAGUGCCGGAGUGAAGAUGUUAAGCCUGCCGCUUGGGAGUACGUCCGCAAGG
RNAcentral lists this ribosomal RNA (520 nucleotides) under uncultured archaeon. Its description in RNAcentral is "bacterial SSU rRNA". It matches the Rfam family "Archaeal small subunit ribosomal RNA", at positions 325 to 848 of the family's 1478-position model. The record is from RNAcentral.